CUCCAGCCUGUCAGAGUUCUUGCAGCACGAACUGACAUGUUGCCCACACAAUCAAGGGAUCAGAUAAUUAAUCUAGUACAGAAAGCAUAAACUACAGCUAGCUAACACUGCGGUGUAUAAAAUGUGGUGAGUAGUGACUCAAAGAGAGAGAAAGACAAUUGUUCAACAGUUUUGAACAAAUUAAUUUCUUCCAAAAUGAAGGACAAGCAAGAGAGAGAGAGAUUUCGUCUUUUUUUCUUCACUUUCAGUUUCAGUUACUUAGCUAGCAAAUGCAGCUAGCUAGUUUAGCCUACUGAAACACCCUGCUCAAACACAGGGAUGCUAUGUUAGCUAACUGGCUAUGACUUACCAACACAAUACUGGAACUCUUCCAAGUCAAGGAGCCAUGAACAACGCUCGGUUUUUGACAGCUGUAAGUGCAGCUCGGAAGCUCUCCAUCAUCCGAAUGUUGACUGAGCUCCAGCAGAGGUCUUCCCCUCCAUGACCUCCCUGGCCGGAGGGGCUCCCAACACCUUCUUCUUCCAGUCCUGCUCCAUCCAGGUGAAGAAUGGGGACACGAUCACCUUCGACGAGACCAUGAUGAAGAGGGCUCUACAGUACUCUGCCUCCAGCGGGGUGAUGUCAUUCUCCUAAUAUUUUUCGUGACAGAUGCCCACACCAUUCUGAUGUUGGGAAUCCCAGAGCUGUUGACUUGAAUGAAGAACCUGCAAAAGAACCUUCACAACCCUCCUACAGCCAACUACAGUCCAGAAAAGGGUCAAAUGGAUAUGUGUGUUAUUACAGGCAGCCAGGUGGGCCUCUGCAAGGUUUUUGAAAUGCUUGUCAAUCCUGGAGAUGUUCUACUCCACGCAUCAACCUACUCUGGAACUCUCGCUGCACUUGCCAGACAGUAUGACCUCCUUAUUAUCGAGGAUGACCGCUAUUUCUUCCUAGUUUGAAAAGGCUGCUCAUGCCUGCCUGCCUGCCUGCCUGAGCGAGCUCCCAUGUUUCUCACCAUGGACGUUGACGGGCGGAUCAUCAGGACAGACUCCUUCUCAAAGAUCCUGUCGUCAUGCUCAUUGUGUCCCAACUGCUGCAUGGCUGGGGUCAGGAAGGUGUCCUCAACAACAUAGAUGGUGCUCACUCCUCCCCAACUCACGGCUGUCAUGGUGACUGGUACCAGGCUGUGUAUCUUCUCCCAGAGGAUCCCUGCUAUAGGAUCCCUGAUGGCUAACAACAACAUAUCCCGACGUAAUGUAAACUUUACCCUCUCUCGCUCAGUGACAUGAAUAAGUAUAUUUCAUAUUCUCAGAACCCAACAUUGCUAAACAUUGUAUCUGUAGUGCUAGGCAGGAACCUAAGUGAUAUGGGCCAUAAACCUUUCUUUCUCCCUUAACGUGACCUGACCUGACCUCGACCCCGUUCAUCGUUAAUCCAUGGCUCUCUCCCCUUAUCAAUGCCUGCCACGUGAUCACUUUUCCUACUCUCAGGACCUUCCCCCUAGAGAUAACCCUUCACCUCUGCCCCUCGGCUAUGGCACCCCUCAGGUCUCAUUACAACUAAUGAUUAAUAACAUUUAAAGUUCAGAAAUCCAAACCCAUCAAAGCCUAACAUUA
Salmo salar (Atlantic salmon) is the source of this 1595-nucleotide non-coding RNA. The record is from RefSeq and is a predicted model, not a curated record. Lineage: Eukaryota; Metazoa; Chordata; Actinopteri; Salmoniformes; Salmonidae.